AAAACUUUCAACAACGGAUCUCUUGGUUCUGGCAUCGAUGAAAAACGCAGCGAAAUGCGAUAAGUAAUGUGAAUUGCAAAAUUCAGUGAAUCAUCGAAUCUUUGAACGCAUAUUGCGCCCUUUGGUAUUCCGAAGGGCAUGCCUGUCCGAGCGUCAUUACACCCCUCAAACCUCCGGGUUUGACGUUGGGCGACGCCCGCUACGGGGGCCAGCCUUAAAGCGAAUGGCGGUUUCCAACCAACCUCGAGCGUACAAGUAUCGCUGACGGUGGACGGUUGGGGGCCUGCCCUCCAGCAUAAGCUUCUCAAUGUUGACCUCGGAUCAGGUAGGGAUACCCGCUGAACUUAAGCAUAUCAAUAAGCGGAGGAAAAGAAACCAACAGGGAUUGCCUCAGUAACGGCGAGUGAAGCGGCAACAGCUCAAAUUUGAAAUCUGGCCCCUUCGGGUCCGAGUUGUAAUUUGUAGAGGAUGUUUCGGGUAAGAUCCAGGUCUAAGUUCCUUGGAACAGGACGUCAUAGAGGGUGAGAAUCCCGUACGUGACCAUGGAUCGCACCCGUGUGAAACUCCUUCGACGAGUCGAGUUGUUUGGGAAUGCAGCUCAAAAUGGGUGGUAAAUUUCAUCUAAAGCUAAAUAUUGGCCAGAGACCGAUAGCGCACAAGUAGAGUGAUCGAAAGAUGAAAAGCACUUUGAAAAGAGAGUUAAACAGUAUGUGAAAUUGUUGAAAGGGAAGCGCUUGCGACCAGACUUGUUCCGCGGGUUCAACCCCCUUUCCGGGCGGUGUACUUCCCGCGGUCAGGCCAGUAUCAGUUUGGGCGGAGGGUUAAAGGCCCCGGGAACGUGAUACCCUUCGGGGUAUGUUAUAGCCCGGGGCGGAAUGCCUCCUGCCUGGACUGAGGAACGCGCUUCGGCUCGGAUACUGGCGUAAUGGUUGCAAGCGACCCGUCUUGAAACACGGACCAAGGAGUCUAACAUCUAUGCGAGUGUUUGGGUGUCAAACCCAUGCGCGGAAUGAAAGUGAACGGAGGUGGGAGCCCUCGGGCGCACCAUCGACCGAUCCUGAUGUCUUCGGAUGGAUUUGAGUAAGAGCAUAGCUGUUGGGACCCGAAAGAUGGUGAACUAUGCCUGAAUAGGGUGAAGCCAGAGGAAACUCUGGUGGAGGCUCGCAGCGGUUCUGACGUGCAAAUCGAUCGUCAAAUUUGGGUAUAGG
This 1208-nucleotide ribosomal RNA is filed under the name Umbilicaria sp. INBio_4503Q. Its description in RNAcentral is "eukaryotic LSU rRNA". The stretch from base 312 to 1208 matches the Rfam family "Eukaryotic large subunit ribosomal RNA", at positions 1 to 921 of the family's 3401-position model. Lineage: Eukaryota; Fungi; Ascomycota; Lecanoromycetes; Umbilicariales; Umbilicariaceae. The record is from RNAcentral.